GUUUUUUGCAGCUUUGCUUGACAUCAGCACGUUUCCUUCCCUAGGGGUUACCCCCAGCAGUGUGUGAGAAUGAAGAGUGUGGGCCACUGUGUCUCUGUUGACCUGCCAGAUAGGAAAUAGCGCCAGAGUUGCUGCAAUCCACGUCUCCCUGGAAUUCAGGAGCAGCUUGGCUGGAAGGCUCUGGCUGGAAGCUUGCAGAAGGCUGUCAGCUGGGUCUGCAUCAUCUGAAGGCUCAACGGGUACCGGGGGCCACUCCAUGGCCUGCGAGUCAGAGCUGGCCGUCGGUGGGAGGCCUCAGUUCCUCUCCACAUAGGCCUCUCCACAGGGCCACUUGAGCAUCUUCCCACCAUGGCAACUGGUGUCCUCUAGAGCAACAUCCAGGAGACCAAGGCGGAAGCAGCUGUAGUGCCUUCUAGGACCUGGUCCUGAAAGUCACCCCUGCACCCACCCCCGCUGUCUCCUCAGCCAUAUUCUGCUGGUCACACAGGUCAGCUCUAAUUCCGUGUGUGCGUCAGGCCUACACAGGGUGUGAGCACCGGGAGGCUGGGAUCGUCAAGGGCUCGUUAGGAAGCGGUUACCACAGAGGGGACAGGGGAGGAGGUGUGAAGUUUAAAGAGAGGAGAGGAGGUUUGACGAGUGGGAAGCCAUGCUGACCUGUGGGAUCGCCCUGCAGGCUGAGGGUUCUUUACACGUUGGUGACCGUGUUAUUCCAGAGUGGCAGCGUCACAGCCUUUGCACAGGGUGGUCUGACCGAAUGUCCCC
This 762-nucleotide long non-coding RNA is filed under the name Pan troglodytes (chimpanzee). RNAcentral's name for it is "long non-coding RNA NONPTRT008351". Lineage: Eukaryota; Metazoa; Chordata; Mammalia; Primates; Hominidae. The record is from RNAcentral.